Molecule: ribosomal RNA, 119 nt
Filed under: Helianthus annuus (common sunflower)
Lineage: Eukaryota; Viridiplantae; Streptophyta; Magnoliopsida; Asterales; Asteraceae
Source: RNAcentral
GGUUGCGAUCAUACCAGCACUAAUGCACCGGAUCCCAUCAGAACUCCGCAGUUAAGCGUGCUUGGGCGAGAGUAGUACUAGGAUGGGUGACCCCCUGGGAAGUCCUCGUGUUACAACCC